UGUCCCCUGCAGUGUUCGUGAGGAGAGCAUUCCUCCUGAGCCGAUAUUUCUUGAACCAAGGGCGUUUGCUCUGAUUGUGGAGUGUAGGCUACUGUUAGUCAGUUUACCGGAAGCAGUUAUUUCACGUGCCCACCUUAAACAAGGGGUUCAGAGGUCGUAAUCCAACGGCACAGGCGGGGGAUUU
Molecule: non-coding RNA, 184 nt
Filed under: Magnetococcales bacterium
Lineage: Bacteria; Pseudomonadati; Pseudomonadota; Magnetococcia; Magnetococcales
Description: 6S RNA
Rfam family: 6S / SsrS RNA
About the family: E. coli 6S RNA was the first non coding RNA to be sequenced, but its function was unknown until recently. It consists of 184 nucleotides that fold into an extended hairpin structure with a large single-stranded internal bulge.
Source: RNAcentral